RNAcentral lists this ribosomal RNA (397 nucleotides) under uncultured bacterium. RNAcentral describes it as "bacterial SSU rRNA". It matches the Rfam family "Bacterial small subunit ribosomal RNA", at positions 28 to 428 of the family's 1533-position model. The record is from RNAcentral.
GACGAACGCUGGCGGCGUGCUUAACACAUGCAAGUCGAGCGGUAAGGCCCUUUCGGGGGUACACGAGCGGCGAACGGGUGAGUAACACGUGGGUGACCUGCCUUUAGCUCUGGGAUAAGCCUGGGAAACUGGGUCUAAUACCGGAUAUGACCCUAUGGCGCAUGUUGUGGGGUGGAAAGCCUUGUGCGGCUAGGGAUAGGCCCGCGGCCUAUCAGCUUGUUGGUGGGGUGAUGGCCUACCAAGGCGACGACGGGUAGCCGGCCUGAGAGGGCGACCGGCCACACUGGGACUGAGACACGGCCCAGACUCCUACGGGAGGCAGCAGUGGGGAAUCUUGCGCAAUGGGCGAAAGCCUGACGCAGCGACGCCGCGUGAGGGAUGACGGCCUCGGUUGUAA